GCCAGCAGUCAUAACACUCUGAAACUCACAUUUGGCAACCCACUGACACUAGGCAGGAGUGAGCCCAGUCAGUACAUGGAUGGGAGACCUCCUGGGAAAAACUAAGGUUGUUGCUGGAA
This 119-nucleotide ribosomal RNA is filed under the name Lepisosteus oculatus (spotted gar). Lineage: Eukaryota; Metazoa; Chordata; Actinopteri; Semionotiformes; Lepisosteidae. The record is from RNAcentral.